Molecule: ribosomal RNA, 301 nt
Filed under: uncultured bacterium
Lineage: Bacteria
Description: partial 16S ribosomal RNA
Rfam family: Bacterial small subunit ribosomal RNA
Source: RNAcentral
CAGCCGCCACGGUAAAACGAAGGGGGCUAGCGUUGUUCGGAAUUACUGGGCGUAAAGGGCGCGUAGGCGGCCAUUCAAGUUAGAUGUGAAAGCCCUGGGCUCAACCUAGGAAUUGCAUUUGAUACUGUUUGGCUUGAGUUCGGGAGAGGUGAGUGGAAUUCCCCGUGUAGAGGUGAAAUUCGCAGAUAUUGGGAAGAACACCAGUGGCGAAGGCGGCUCACUGGACCGACACUGACGCUGAGGCGCGAAAGCGUGGGGAGCAAACAGGAUUAGAUACCCCCGUAGUCCCUGUCUCUUAUAC